CAGUAGCCGCGGGAAAACGGAGGGUGCAAGCGUUAAUCGGAAUUACUGGGCGUAAAGCGCACGCAGGCGGUCUGUCAAGUCAGAUGUGAAAUCCCCGGGCUUAACCUGGGAACUGCAUUUGAAACUGGCAGGCUAGAGUCUUGUAGAGGGGGGUAGAAUUCCAGGUGUAGCGGUGAAAUGCGUAGAGAUCUGGAGGAAUACCGGUGGCGAAGGCAGCCCCCUGGGCCAAUACUGACGCUCAUGCACGAAAGCGUGGGGAGCAAACAGGAUUAGAUACCCGUGUAGUCCCUGUCUCUUAUAC
RNAcentral lists this ribosomal RNA (301 nucleotides) under uncultured bacterium. RNAcentral describes it as "partial 16S ribosomal RNA". It matches the Rfam family "Bacterial small subunit ribosomal RNA", at positions 509 to 807 of the family's 1533-position model. The record is from RNAcentral.